UGGGGUCACUGCUGUUGAUAGAGGUCAGUGUAGGGAUUCCUGUUGAGAGCAGCAGUGAAGAAUCUGCCUCUGUGCAGUCCUGGUUUCCCCUUCCAUCCUCCAGUCCUUGUGCUGUCCUCCUUGGAAUGCCGCCAAGCCUGGAUCCUGCUCCUCGGCUGUGGGUGGAGGUGGAGUGGCUCUUUGGUAAACAGAAUUAGAGGCAAAGGUGGGAGGUUCCUGAAGUCACCUGUGAGCUGCCUCCUCCCAUACCUGGACCCGGGCUGCCUGCGAGGCGCUUUAAAUUGCCACUUGGCGCAGCCCUGGACACAGACUUCAUCGGCAUGGCACGAAGCAUCCUCCUGCUGGGGCUCCUCGCCCUGUGGGUGCAGCUGCAGGCAGCACCCAUUGCAGAGUUCCAUGGAGUAGCUCCAGCUGGGUGGCCACCACCAGCGCAGCUGGGAAGUGCCCUGAGCCUUGAGCCUGGGAAAGAGCCCAGGAUGGUGCCUGACAAUGGUGAUGGUGACAAUGACAAUAACAGCUCAAAUAGCAAUGAAAUGGGUGACUCCAAUAGCAGUGAAACUGGUGAUGAUGGCAACAAUCCCAAUGACCAUGAUGAUGAUGAUGGUGAUAAAAAUAAGCUUUGUGAUUGCAAUGACCAUGGUGACAACAAUGGUGAUGAUGGUGUCAAUGGUGACAAUUCCAAUAGCAAUGAAGAUGGUGAUGAUGGUGAUAAAAAUGACCUUUUUGAUAGCAAGGACAAUGACAAUGAUAAUGGUGGCAAUGACAGUGAUGAUGGCAAUGAUGAUGGUGAUGAUCUCAUCAAUGAUGAAAAUUCCANNNNNNNNNNNNNNNNNNNNNNNNNNNNNNNNNNNNNNNNNNNNNUGAUGAAAAUUCCAACAGCAAUGAUGAUGGUGAUGAUCUCAUCAAUGAUGAAAAUUCCAACAGCAAUGAAGAUGGUGAUGAUGACAUCAACAGUGACGGUUCCAAUAGCAGUGAAGAUGGUGACUCCAAUGACAAUGGAUAUGAUUACUCCAAUAACAAUGAAAAUUAUGCUGAUUAUGGGGGGUGGGGAUUUUAGAUUGUAACAGUUGGGAUCUGCAGAGAUUUUUGGGUUUCUCUUUUGUGGCACCCAGCUCAGACUACCAGAUUUGAUGAUUGUUCUGUGCCAAUAAAUGUAUCUAUUGAACCUGAGAGUUUAGUGUC
This 1182-nucleotide long non-coding RNA is filed under the name Parus major (Great Tit). RNAcentral's name for it is "lncRNA (ENSPMJG00000005901.1)". The record is from RNAcentral. Lineage: Eukaryota; Metazoa; Chordata; Aves; Passeriformes; Paridae.